GGAGGUAGUGACAAUAAAUCACAAUGCGGGACUGUUAGUCUUGCAAUUGGAUUGAGAACAACGUACAACUCUUAUCGAUAAGCCAUUGGAGGGCAAGUCUGGUGCCAGCAGCCGCGGUAAUUCCAGCUCCAAUAGCGUAUAUUAACGUUGUUGCAGUUAAAAAGCUCGUAGUUGAAGUGAGGGAGUGUGUAGUAGGACCGACUUGAUCGGAACUGCUGCAACCUCCCCCCUCCAAUCGGUGUAGUGGGGUAUUCAGUUAUUCUACUACUCCUUUGGUCGUUUACUGUGAGAAAAUUAGAGUGUUCAAAGCGGGCGUUUGUUUGAAUAGAUUAGCAUGGAAUAAUGAUUGAAGGCUUUCGUGUUCGAUUUGAUUGGUUUGUUCAUGGAAGCAAGGUUAAAAGGAACAGUUGGGGGUAUUCAUAUUCACUAGUUAGAGGUGAAAUUCUCGGAUUUAUGGAAGAUGAACAAGUGCGAAAGCA
This 479-nucleotide ribosomal RNA is filed under the name Blastocystis sp. RNAcentral's name for it is "SSU rRNA". It matches the Rfam family "Eukaryotic small subunit ribosomal RNA", at positions 460 to 953 of the family's 1831-position model. Lineage: Eukaryota; Bigyra; Opalinata; Blastocystidae. The record is from RNAcentral. RNAcentral also lists the same sequence under 2 other names.